RNAcentral lists this long non-coding RNA (300 nucleotides) under Elaeis guineensis (African oil palm). RNAcentral describes it as "long non-coding RNA (EGUI_LNC034733)". Lineage: Eukaryota; Viridiplantae; Streptophyta; Magnoliopsida; Arecales; Arecaceae. The record is from RNAcentral.
CGCAGAGAACGUGGCUGAUCUAUUGACGAAGUAAUUGAGCUAGCAAAAGUCUGAAGCCCACCUUGAGAAGAUGAGACUUAGAUUUGUAGUCAAUUGGCUUUAGGUCAAGUGGGAGAUUGUUCGAUGUAUGCCUUAAAAGCUAGAUUGGCCAACACUUGUAAACUUUCUUAGGGUAUAUUUUGUAAUGUUGACUUAUAAAUUCAUAAAAUUUGGUUCACUACCAUACAUAUUUGUGUUAAAUUGUGUCUAUGCAUCGUCUGUUGAGUUAAUGGGUAUAAUGACAUAUAUUCUUAAGAGUUG